GCUUGACCUUGUCUAUCAAAUCUGGCAGACAUUCAACAGUGUUUUUUCUCACAACAAAUCAUUGAACAGUACUUUCAGCCAUGCCUUAUCAGUUGUUUGCUCAGCAUGCAUGUACAUAUAGCUUGUUGAAUUGACCUGAUUUCUUGUUAUCGCCGUAUGCUAGUUGAGUUAAUAAUCUCAUCAACGAUAGUACGCUCUUAAGCAGACAUCCUGGUGCAUACAUCGUUUAGAGCCAAUAAAACAUACCCC
RNAcentral lists this long non-coding RNA (249 nucleotides) under Sorghum bicolor (sorghum). Its description in RNAcentral is "long non-coding RNA (SBIC_LNC000534)". The record is from RNAcentral. Lineage: Eukaryota; Viridiplantae; Streptophyta; Magnoliopsida; Poales; Poaceae.